GCAGCGCCGCGGGAACACGGAGGGGGCUAGCGUUGUUCGGAAUUACUGGGCGUAAAGCGCACGUAGGCGGCUUGGUAAGUUAGAGGUGAAAGCCUGGAGCUCAACUCCAGAAUUGCCUUUAAGACUGCCGAGCUAGCAGGUGAGAGAGGUAAGUGGAAUUCCGAGUGUAGAGGUGAAAUUCGUAGAUAUUCGGAAGAACACCAGUGGCGAAGGCGGCUUACUGGCUCAUACUGGACGCUGAGGUGCGAAAGCGUGGGGAGCAAACAGGAUUAGAUACCCCAGUAGUCCCUGUCUCUUAUACA
RNAcentral lists this ribosomal RNA (302 nucleotides) under uncultured bacterium. Its description in RNAcentral is "partial 16S ribosomal RNA". It matches the Rfam family "Bacterial small subunit ribosomal RNA", at positions 508 to 808 of the family's 1533-position model. The record is from RNAcentral.